AGAAUGAACGCUGGCGGCAUGCCUAACACAUGCAAGUCGAACGAAUGCCCUUCGGGGUGUUAGUGGCGCACGGGUGCGUAACGCGUGGGAAUCUGCCCUUGGGUUCGGAAUAACAGUUGGAAACGACUGCUAAUACCGGAUGAUGACGUAAGUCCAAAGAUUUAUCGCCCAGGGAUGAGCCCGCGUAGGAUUAGGUAGUUGGUGUGGUAAAGGCGCACCAAGCCGACGAUCCUUAGCUGGUCUGAGAGGAUGAUCAGCCACACUGGGACUGAGACACGGCCCAGACUCCUACGGGAGGCAGCWGUGGGGAAUAUUGGACAAUGGGCGAAAGCCUGAUCCAGCAAUGCCGCGUGAGUGAUGAAGGCCUUAGGGUUGUAAAGCUCUUUUACCCGGGAUGAUAAUGACAGUACCGGAG
RNAcentral lists this ribosomal RNA (415 nucleotides) under Sphingomonas sp. Its description in RNAcentral is "bacterial SSU rRNA". It matches the Rfam family "Bacterial small subunit ribosomal RNA", at positions 26 to 483 of the family's 1533-position model. Lineage: Bacteria; Pseudomonadati; Pseudomonadota; Alphaproteobacteria; Sphingomonadales; Sphingomonadaceae. The record is from RNAcentral.